CCUACGGGCGGCAGCAGUGGGGAAUAUUGGACAAUGGGGGGAACCCUGAUCCAGCCAUGCCGCGUGUGUGAAGAAGGCCCUCGGGUUGUAAAGCACUUUCAGUGAGGAAGAACGCCUGGUGGUUAAUACCCAUCAGGAAAGACAUCACUCACAGAAGAAGCACCGGCUAACUCCGUGCCAGCAGCCGCGGUAAUACGGAGGGUGCGAGCGUUAAUCGGAAUUACUGGGCGUAAAGCGCGCGUAGGUGGCUUGAUAAGCCGGUUGUGAAAGCCCCGGGCUCAACCUGGGAACGGCAUCCGGAACUGUCAAGCUAGAGUGCAGGAGAGGAAGGUAGAAUUCCCGGUGUAGCGGUGAAAUGCGUAGAGAUCGGGAGGAAUACCAGUGGCGAAGGCGGCCUUCUGGACUAACACUGACACUGAGGUGCGAAAGCGUGGGUAGCAAACAGGAUUAGAUACCCCAGUAGUC
Molecule: ribosomal RNA, 465 nt
Filed under: Vreelandella stevensii
Lineage: Bacteria; Pseudomonadati; Pseudomonadota; Gammaproteobacteria; Oceanospirillales; Halomonadaceae
Description: partial 16S ribosomal RNA
Rfam family: Bacterial small subunit ribosomal RNA
Source: RNAcentral